Molecule: long non-coding RNA, 467 nt
Organism: Phyllostomus hastatus (greater spear-nosed bat)
Lineage: Eukaryota; Metazoa; Chordata; Mammalia; Chiroptera; Phyllostomidae
Exons: 3
Source: RefSeq, a predicted model, not a curated record
AAUGUCCAGCGGGCUCCUGGGCUCACAUUAGACAUGUCCCUUCACGUACGAGAGUCGCCAGCACACCCGUAAAUAACUGUGACACGAUCAGGAAGCAGACUUCGCUUCCAGCAGCCAGAGCCGCCGCCAGUCCUGAGCCUGAGCUCCGUGAAGGGUUCCUUGCGCCCAGAAGUCAGACUCUUACGGGGAAGGUGAGCUGGGCGAGGAGGCCUUGGCGUUUCCUGCAAAGUCAGGCUGAUAAGGAGCUACAUUCCUACAGAUUCGCCUGGCGUGAACACAACCACGGGCAUGUUUUCACUCUACCACCUCUGUGUUUCUGAAAACCUUUGUCAUUUAUGUGACAGUAUUAUCACACAUUUUAUACAGAUGGCUAAACUGAGGCCGGGAGCAGGAAAGAUGUUGGCAGAGAGACACCUAAGGAGCUGGGAUUAGAAUUCUCCUCCUUGUCGCCCACCAGCUGCCAGGCA